This 253-nucleotide ribosomal RNA is filed under the name uncultured bacterium. Its description in RNAcentral is "partial 16S ribosomal RNA". It matches the Rfam family "Bacterial small subunit ribosomal RNA", at positions 524 to 776 of the family's 1533-position model. The record is from RNAcentral.
GACGAACCGUGCAAACGUUAUUCGGAAUCACUGGGCUUAAAGGGCGCGUAGGCGGUCCAUCAAGUCAGGGGUGAAAUCCUGCAGCUCAACUGCAGAAGUGCCUCUGAUACUGGUGGUCUGGAGGGAGAUAGGGGUGUGUGGAACUCACAGUGGAGCGGUGAAAUGCGUUGAUAUUGUGAGGAACGCCGGAGGCGAAAGCGACGCACUGGAUCUCUUCUGACGCUGAGGCGCGAAAGCUAGGGGAGCAAACGGG